Molecule: long non-coding RNA, 633 nt
Filed under: Spirodela polyrhiza (greater duckweed)
Lineage: Eukaryota; Viridiplantae; Streptophyta; Magnoliopsida; Alismatales; Araceae
Description: long non-coding RNA (SPOL_LNC001836)
Source: RNAcentral
GACCUCAUCCGGGACUGGCAGCUCGCCUACGCCGACGGCCUCAAGAAGGCCGGCCAAUCCGUGAAGCUGCUUUACCUCUUGCAGGCCACCAUUGGCUUCUACCUCCUGCCCAACAACAACCAUUUCUUCGAGGUCAUGGAGGAGAUCAGGACCUUCUUGAGUUCUGAUUGCUGAUGAUGACUCGAGAUUAACUUACAGUUCCAGUCCCUCCCCUGCACAUAGCUGCCCGCCAUUACUGCUACUACUACUGCUACUGUUGCUGCUGGUCGCUCGCCCUGGUUGUCGAAGCCUUGGUCGCUGCACACGACGAUCGCCUCUUCCUGUUGGCCGGCGAGACCUUCAUCACCUUGUUCGGAGGCGGAAGCUCGAAGAACCCAAGCCUCCCUCAUCGCCGCCAAGGUCCGUUUUAUUCGCAGGCGGCGGAUGGCGGCAGCCUCAGGGGGCGGCGGCGCUUCCGGCACUAAUUUCAGGCCGCCCAGUUCCUUCUUCCUCCCCCCGCCGGGGGGAAGAAGAUCGUAGGCCAGGGUUUUACUCAUCUCACACCUGCGAUCUCUAUAAAUAUGUGUAUACUCUCUUCUCUGUUUGGGGUUUGAUUCGAGUGAGUUCUUAUAAUAGAAAUGUGUUGACUUCCUC